RNAcentral lists this ribosomal RNA (429 nucleotides) under Bacteroidota bacterium. Its description in RNAcentral is "Bacteroidetes bacterium partial 16S ribosomal RNA". It matches the Rfam family "Bacterial small subunit ribosomal RNA", at positions 355 to 776 of the family's 1533-position model. The record is from RNAcentral. Lineage: Bacteria; Pseudomonadati; Bacteroidota.
UAGGGAAUCUUCCGCAAUGGACGCAAGUCUGACGGAGCAACGCCGCGUGAGUGAAGAAGGUUUUCGGAUCGUAAAGCUCUGUUGUUAAGGAAGAACGAGUGUGAGAAUGGAAAGUUCAUGCUGUGACGGUACUUAACCAGAAAGGGACGGCUAACUACGUGCCAGCAGCCGCGGUAAUACGUAGGUCCCGAGCGUUGUCCGGAUUUAUUGGGCGUAAAGCGAGCGCAGGCGGUUAGAUAAGUCUGAAGUUAAAGGCAGUGGCUCAACCAUUGUAGGCUUUGGAAACUGUUUAACUUGAGUGCAGAAGGGGAGAGUGGAAUUCCAUGUGUAGCGGUGAAAUGCGUAGAUAUAUGGAGGAACACCGGUGGCGAAAGCGGCUCUCUGGUCUGUAACUGACGCUGAGGCUCGAAAGCGUGGGGAGCGAACAGG